GCUCACAAAAUAUAGCUUACAAAAGAAGCUUGCUGCUUGUGACUUCAUUUGGUAAUUUCAGGCUCAGCUAAAGAAGAGAGGAGAGUCAGACAAUCAGACAGACGGCCCCUCGCCCUCUCAGCUCUCACGCUCACCGAAAUCUCCAUUCUUGCCUCGAGCUGCCCGUGUGCUGCCUCCUGCUGGCGGCAAAGAGAACGGAGAAGAGUCCUCACCUCAGUGGCUGAAAGAACUAAAGACUAAAAAACGUUUGAGUCAGUAUGAAGGCGACAGUACGGCCUGAACAAGCAGGAUGCCUUAUAACUGCAGUAUCUGUAGCUGUAAACUCGUGACAGAAGCCUUAACCUUUGACCUGGAGUUGACGGGAACUCUGCUGCUGCUGCUGACUACGACAUCAUUCUGUUUCGUUGUUUAUUCCUCGCAUUCCUCUCCAGCCUGAGUCGUGUACAUGUGCAUGGUGCCUUUCUAAAAGAUUUCUGGCUGACAUAAAGGUCGAAGCAGAGAUCUGUGUAUGAAGCGUGUGUCCAUAAAUGUGUUGUCGAGUUUCUCUGCAGCCCUUCGUCAUGUGAGAGAGAAUUAUUUUUGCAUAGAGCCACUUUAACCUCUAGUGACGAGAGAUCAUCGUUUAUAGUGGACGUGUGGUACCACACGCACCUACAAGUAACCUGAAGUGCUUCAUAUAACUGGAGUAUGAUGCUGGUUUAUUUUUACCCUUUAUGUUCAUAUUAGCACAGUUUUCAUGCUUUUUUUUUUCAUUCACUCGAUGAUUAUAGGUAUCAGUUGCACAUGCAUUUCUAUAGACGUCAUGAUUUUAUUUCGAAACUUUAUUAGUCAACAAAUCAUUGCUGAGCUGUAUAGAAAGUGUAUUUAGUAAUGACACAUGUCCAUGUAAUCACAAAGUUAUAUUUGUAUUAAUGCCAGUUUGAAAGAGGAAAAUGGUAAAUGAUCAAAAAGGAGUCAAAAUUCUUCAUUUAAGAAGAACUGCGGCCCUCUGAACUGUAUGCGUGUUGAUGUGUGUGUGGGAACCUGAUUGGAUGGGCCACCAAAUGAAAUUAGUUCAUUUGUUUGCACACGUUUUCACGCCCAAUAGCCCAUAUUUUGUGCUUGGAUUUGGAUAAUGUGUUUAGUUUCACCAUUCCAUCAUAUUUUCAGUUGAAUCCAUCAUUUCAUGAUUGGAAAAAAAAAUUGCGCAUGUACAAUCAAUCGUUCCCUUUCUUUCACUUUAUUUUUGCUAUUUCUAUCCCAAUACUUUACUUGCUUUAAUGAUGGGCCAAAAAUGAUGGUAGGAAAUUGCACAAUCAGCAUAAAAAUUUAGUUUUCUUCCCUUACAAUGUAAUAAUGAAUAAAUACAAAGGGAAAAUGUUUCAUUUGUGUCCCUCACUCACAUCUUAAUUUUUUUUUUUUUUUAGUUUACUAGUUCGCUUAAGGGAAGUUUGAAAUGUCAAAGUACUGUAAACAUUGUUCAGAUAACAUUGCACACUAGUUGUUACCGUAUUUUUAAAAGAAAACAAAACAAAUGCUGGGUCAUUUUGCCACUUAACAAGCACUUUCCACCUGUUAAUGAACUGCGUUUCUGACCAAUAGUCACUUUUGUAUCGCAUGAGUCUUCGUUGAUGUCUAUGUUGUGAUGUUGGUAUGCUGGUGGUAUGUGAGUAAUGAGUAAUGUGUCCUACUUUUUUUUUUUUUUUUUUCUAAUAUCAGCUUCUUUUUCUGUCUGCCUACAGUUGUUGUAGUCUGUUUAAGGGUAAUUUGUCCUUUUUAUUUUACAUUUGACUGUAAAGAUGUUCAUUGCACUGUUGUAAUGCCAGUGUCCAAUACUGUAAAUUCUUAAUAAAAUUUACUAUAAAUUGA
Molecule: non-coding RNA, 1848 nt
Organism: Pimephales promelas (fathead minnow)
Lineage: Eukaryota; Metazoa; Chordata; Actinopteri; Cypriniformes; Leuciscidae
Source: RefSeq, a predicted model, not a curated record